AACACGUGGGGAACCUGCCCCAUAGUCUGGGAUACCACUUGGAAACAGGUGCUAAUACCGGAUAAGAAAGCGGAUCGCAUGAUCAGCUUUUAAAAGGCGGCGUAAGCUGUCGCUAUGGGAUGGCCCCGCGGUGCAUUAGCUAGUUGGUAAGGUAAAGGCUUACCAAGGCGAUGAUGCAUAGCCGAGUUGAGAGACUGAUCGGCCACAUUGGGACUGAGACACGGUCCAAACUCCUACGGGAGGCAGCAGCC
RNAcentral lists this ribosomal RNA (251 nucleotides) under uncultured Lactobacillus sp. Its description in RNAcentral is "partial 16S ribosomal RNA". It matches the Rfam family "Bacterial small subunit ribosomal RNA", at positions 112 to 355 of the family's 1533-position model. Lineage: Bacteria; Bacillati; Bacillota; Bacilli; Lactobacillales; Lactobacillaceae. The record is from RNAcentral.